This 1376-nucleotide long non-coding RNA is filed under the name Vulpes vulpes (red fox). RNAcentral's name for it is "lncRNA (ENSVVUG00000004709.1)". Lineage: Eukaryota; Metazoa; Chordata; Mammalia; Carnivora; Canidae. The record is from RNAcentral.
CAUUAUCUGGUACAGGCCAAGGUGCGCAUUCACCUCCAGCUGGUGAUUCUACUCCUAGGUAUCGAUGCCCUGGAAGAAUCUGUGCCUUGGAGAACAGUGUUGGUGGGAACAGCGGUGCAAUAGGCAGAGGGAAUGUUGUGACCGUCCGCUCCGAGCUACUGUGGUGGUUUCUGCUGUGGGCCUGUGACAGAUCAUGUGACAGUCACAGGAUGCGGCCAUCAGCAGCCAUGAACCUCACACACGUAAGAUCGAGUGAGAAAAGGAAGUGUGCAAGUCCCGGACAGUGGUUCCCUGUAGGAGGGAGGGCACACGGCGUACCCAGCCACUGCUGCUACUUCGCAUGUCGCAUUCUGAGAUUCUGAAUGGAGGUGAAUUUUGGGAGGAUGCCAGUCAACCCACUACACGUUUGUCCUGUGUUUCAUUGUUUAUAAGAUGCUUGUGCUUCCCAGCACACCUGCAAGUUUCUCAGAUGGCUUUCCUGGGAAACACCAUCAGACAGAGGCCCCAGCGGGUCCCGUGUCUGACUCUGAAACCGCAGCACCCGGCCGCAGGCCGGGCACACAGUGGGCCUCAUCACUUGUCAGCUUACCAGGUCAGAGUUAAGCCCACUGCCAGGGUGCUUGGGGGUGUUCUUCAAAUUGUUUGGGGGACAGGAUAUGGCUGGUUUGGGGAAGGCAGGCCCUCGCUGCUCCCCUCCGCAGCAAUGCAGCCCCUCUCAGCCCAGGUGGGUGGGUGGUCCAGCGCUCUGCUGCCCCUGAGGACACCCAGCCCUCCAGGGAAGCGGGGCUGGCAGGAGGGCUGAGGCUGGCCUGUCCCCCCAUCCCUGCAUCCCUCCUGCCUCCACCAGCCUCCUGGCCUUCCCAGACUCUCACGUGGGGCCCAAGCAGAAGCGCAGCAAGCACGAGGCCAACAGAGGCGUGACCGCACGCAUGCUCUACCGCUGGUCCUCGGAGAAAAGCUUGGUCUUCCCUGGGUGUGGAAUACCUUCCCCUGCUUCCCACAAGGGCCCCCUUGGUGGGAAAGGACAGCGGCUGGGAGAUGUGCGGGCCGCUGGGACUGGGGAGGGGCCUCCCUCCUCCCCAUGAGGCCUGGAAAGGGCAGGGGCGCAUGCUGAUGGCCUGAACCUCGGUUCCCCAGGAAGGGCUGGUGGGACUCUAGAGAAAUCCAGAUGCUUUCUCCUCUGUCUGUAUCCAAAAUGUUUUCUAGUGGGACUCCUGGGUGGCUCAGGGGUUGAGCAUCUGUCUUCAGCUCAGGGCAUGAUCCUGGAGUCCCAGGAUCGAGUCCCACAUCGGGCUCCCUGCAUGGAGCCUGCUUCUCCCUCUGCCUGGGUCUCUGCCUCUCUCUCUCUCUCUCUCUCUCUCUCUGUCUUUCAUGAA